GCCACAAAGCUAGCUCAAACACAACAAAAAAAUUUAUACUAUAUAUUAUUAUAAACAAACCUAAACAAAAAAAUCAAAUCAUUUGACCCUCCCAGUACGGGCGACGGAAAAGAGUCUCCUGAAGCAAUAAAGAAAGUACCGCAAGGGAAAGCUGAAAAAGAAAUGAAAGAACCCGUAAAAGCAAAGAAAAGCAAAGAUUAAACCUUGUACCUUUUGCAUCAUGAUUCAGCAAGUAAACUCAAGCAAAGAGAACUCUAGUUUGAACCCCCGAAACUUGACGAGCUACUCCGGGACAGCUAAUUAUGAGCCAACCCGUCUCUGUGGCAAAAGAGUGGGAAGAUCCCUGAGUAGAGGCAAAAAACCUACCGAGCCAAGUUAUAGCUGGUUGCCCAAUAAAUGAAUAAAAGUUCAGCCCCACCCAGCCCAACUCGAAACAGUACAACUACCAAAGACAAAGAGCUUGCGUGGAGGUUAGUCAGAGGAGGAACAGCUCCCCUGAUCAAGGAUACAACCUUAGUAGGAGGCUAUAGAAUAUUAUUAGCAAGGCUUAAGGUUGCAGUGGGCCUGAAAGCAGCCACCUGACCAGAAAGCGUUAAAGCUCUAACCCCAUCAAAAGCCCAUUAUUUUAUUUUUUAAACUAACCCCCUACCCCCUCAUUGGGCCUCCCUAUGCCUCCGCCAUAGGAGAGAUCAUGCUGAAACGAGUAACAGGAAGAACGAACUUCUCCGAGCACAAGUGUACGUCAGAUUGGACUAACCACCGACAACUAACGAGCCCAAUAGAAGAGGGCCCUACAGAUCCGCCACCUUAAGCCAGGAAAAAUCUGUUGUACUUUUAUCGUUACCCCUACACAGGAGUGCUAGAACAAGGAAAGACUUAAAGAAGAAAAAGGAACUCGGCAAACCUAAACCCCGCCUGUUUACCAAAAACACCGCCUCUUGCUUAAUGAAAUAUAAGAGGUCCCACCUGCCCUGUGACUUUAAGUUUAACGGCCGCGGUAUCCUAACCGUGCGAAGGUAGCGCAAUCAAUUGCCUUUUAAAUGAAGGCCUGUAUGAAUGGUAAAACGAGGGUUUAACUGUCUCUUUUUUCCAGUCGGUUAAAUUGAUCUGUCCGUGCAGAAGCGGACAUUUUUUUACAAGACGAGAAGACCCUAUGGAGCUUUAGACACCAGCUAACUGUGAACUAGCGAAUGAAUAAUAAAUCUUCCCAUACACCCACAGACCCUGGUAAUGUGUCUUAGGUUGGGGCGACCACGGGAGAAAGAAAAGCUCCCGAGCAGAACAGGGUUUACCCUGGAACUAAGAACGACAGCUCUAAGUCACAAAAACUUUGACUGAAAUGAUCCGGCCUAACGGCCGAUUAACGGAACAAGUUACCCUAGGGAUAACAGCGCAAUCCCCUCCCAGAGUCCCUAUCGACGAGGGGGUUUACGACCUCGAUGUUGGAUCAGGACAUCCUAAUGGUGCAGCCGCUAUUAAGGGUUCGUUUGUUCAACGAUUAAAGUCCUACGUGAUCUGAGUUCAGACCGGAGCAAUCCAGGUCGGUUUCUAUCUGUAAAGCUACCUCUCCUAGUACGAAAGGACCGGAGUGGAGGGGCCCAGGCUCCCAGCAAGCCCCUUAUCCACUUGCUGAAAACAACUAAAGCAAGUAAGGAUAAGCAACCCAACAGCUCGAGAAAAGAGCUGUUAAAUUUAUUCGC
This 1700-nucleotide ribosomal RNA is filed under the name Encrasicholina heteroloba (shorthead anchovy). RNAcentral's name for it is "16S ribosomal RNA". It matches the Rfam family "Bacterial large subunit ribosomal RNA". The record is from RNAcentral. Lineage: Eukaryota; Metazoa; Chordata; Actinopteri; Clupeiformes; Engraulidae.